AGCGAACGCUGGCGGCAGGCUUAACACAUGCAAGUCGAACGGAUCCUUCGGGAUUAGUGGCGGACGGGUGAGUAACACGUGGGAACGUGCCUUUUGGUCCGGAACAACACAGGGAAACUUGUGCUAAUACCGGAUGUGCCCUUCGGGGAAAGGAUUUAUCGCCAUUAGAGCGGCCCGCGUCUGAUUAGCUAGUUGGUGAGGUAAAGGCUCACCAAGGCUACGAUCAGUAGCUGGCUGAGAGGAUGAUCAGCCACA
This 255-nucleotide ribosomal RNA is filed under the name uncultured bacterium. RNAcentral's name for it is "partial 16S ribosomal RNA". It matches the Rfam family "Bacterial small subunit ribosomal RNA", at positions 29 to 312 of the family's 1533-position model. The record is from RNAcentral.